GACGAACGCUGGCGGCGUGCUUAACACAUGCAAGUCGAACGGAAAGGCCCUGCUUUUGUGGGGUGCUCGAGUGGCGAACGGGUGAGUAACACGUGAGUAACCUGCCCUUGACUUUGGGAUAACUUCAGGAAACUGGGGCUAAUACCGGAUAGGAGCUCCUGCUGCAUGGUGGGGGUUGGAUAGUUUCGGCGGUUGGGGAUGGACUCGCGGCUUAUCAGCUUGUUGGUGGGGUAGUGGCUUACCAAGGCUUUGACGGGUAGCCGGCCUGCGAGGGUGACCGGCCACAUUAGGACUGAGAUACGGACCAGACUCGUACGGGAGGCAGCAGUGGGGAAUAUUGCACAGUGGGAGGGAGCCUGAUGCAGCAACGCCGCGUGCGGGAUGACGGCCUUCGGGUUGUGAACCGCUUUCGCCUGUGACGAAGCGUGAGUGACGGUAAUGGGUAAAGAAGCACCGGCUAACUACGUG
This 468-nucleotide ribosomal RNA is filed under the name uncultured bacterium. RNAcentral's name for it is "partial 16S ribosomal RNA". It matches the Rfam family "Bacterial small subunit ribosomal RNA", at positions 28 to 507 of the family's 1533-position model. The record is from RNAcentral.